GACGAACGCUGGCGGCGUGCUUAACACAUGUAAGUCGAGCGAUGAAGCUUCUUCGGAAGUGGAUUAGCGGCGGACGGGUGAGUAACACGUGGGUAACCUGCCUCAUAGAGGGGAAUAGCCUUCCGAAAGGAAGAUUAAUACCGCAUAAGAUUGUAAUAUCGCAUGAUAUAGCAAUUAAAGGAGUAAUCCGCUAUGAGAUGGACCCGCGUCGCAUUAGCUAGUUGGUGAGGUAACGGCUCACCAAGGCGACGAUGCGUAGCCGACCUGAGAGGGUGAUCGGCCACAUUGGGACUGAGACACGGCCCAGACUCCUACGGGAGGCAGCAGUGGGGAAUAUUGCACAAUGGGGGAAACCCUGAUGCAGCAACGCCGCGUGAGUGAUGACGGUCUUCGGAUUGUAAAGCUCUGUCUUCAGGGACGAUAAUGACGGUACCUGAGGAGGAAGCCACGGCUAACUACGUGCCAGCCGCCGCGGUAA
RNAcentral lists this ribosomal RNA (478 nucleotides) under uncultured bacterium. Its description in RNAcentral is "partial 16S ribosomal RNA". It matches the Rfam family "Bacterial small subunit ribosomal RNA", at positions 28 to 523 of the family's 1533-position model. The record is from RNAcentral.